RNAcentral lists this ribosomal RNA (168 nucleotides) under Tremellaceae sp. RNAcentral's name for it is "partial small subunit ribosomal RNA". It matches the Rfam family "Eukaryotic small subunit ribosomal RNA", at positions 1352 to 1542 of the family's 1831-position model. The record is from RNAcentral. Lineage: Eukaryota; Fungi; Basidiomycota; Tremellomycetes; Tremellales; Tremellaceae.
UAAAUAGCCAGGCCGGCUCCGGCCGGUCGUGGGCUUCUUAGAGGGACUGACGGCGUUCAGCCGUCGGAAGUUUGAGGCAAUAACAGGUCUGUGAUGCCCUUAGAUGUUCUGGGCCGCACGCGCGCUACACUGACCGGGCCAGCGAGUGUCCGCCUGGGCCGAGAGGCC